This 820-nucleotide long non-coding RNA is filed under the name Macaca mulatta (Rhesus monkey). RNAcentral's name for it is "lncRNA (ENSMMUG00000059824.1)". Lineage: Eukaryota; Metazoa; Chordata; Mammalia; Primates; Cercopithecidae. The record is from RNAcentral.
AUAAUAAGACGUUGCAUUUAUGCUUUACAGGGUGGUCAGCAUCAGCGAGAGAGAAGAUUUGUGUUUUGCUGGGGCUUUCCUCUGCAUCUUCAUGGACUUGAUGAUACAGAUUGGAGGCAGACAGCUGAGAUGGACCUUUCUGGCCUGAACACAAAGGACUACAUCAGACUACUCUUAACUAAGAGUGGAAUGGGCAUAACUGGGGAAAGCAGUGGAAAAACCAGGAGGGAAACCAAGGGAUUAUGGAUUUUAGGAGAUCAUGAAGGCAAGAAUUGGCACUGAUUGGAAGCCCUCAAGAAACUUUUAAUUUAGAAGACAGAAUAAAGAGAAGAAUUAAGAAAGACUGCAUGGACAAGACAUGUUUGGACCAGAGAUACAGGGGUACAAGCUGGAAAAGGGGAGAAAUGAAUCAGGCUACAGGCCAAGUGUCCAUCACUGAUUCCCAGAGAUGCCCGUUGUGUGGUGGGCACUUCCAUGUGGACUCUCUACAGGGGCACGUGCAUGGGUCCAAGAUAGGCAUCCCUCAGCUCAUGGCCUGUAUUCCAGCUUGUAGACUUUUGCUGAGGACGUCCCCUCACCAGUAACCAGCUCUGGUCCCAAGCUCCUGGCCGCAUUCUUCAGUGUCCACAAACCCACAGAGGCUCCUCAUCCUCAACUGUGGGAUUGCACCUUUUCCUGCUGGUUCCUCCUCUUUGCCCUGGCAUGUCUCCAAAUGUUGUCCUCCCUCUGCUCAAAUAGGCAUGGAGCAGGGGCAGAUCAGAAAGUCCGAUGUCCGACCAUCUUCCAACCAAACAAAAUGCUAGACUAUCAUCAUUGCACG